ACCUGCCCACUGAGUUUUAAAUGGCCGCAGUAUAUUAACUGUGCAAAGGUAGCAUAAUCAUUAGUCUUUUAAUUGAAGGCUGGUAUGAAUGGUUGGACGAAAUAUUAGCUGUUUCAAAUGAAUUUAUAAUAGAAUUUUAUUUUUUAGUUAAAAAGCUAAAAUUUGUUUAAAAGACGAGAAGACCCUAUAAAUCUUUAUAUUUUGUUGUAUUUUAGUUAUAAAGAAUUAUUUUAUUAAAAUAUAAUAAAAUAUUUUAUUGGGGUGAUAUUAAAAUUUAAUAAACUUUUAAUUUAUUAAAUCAUUUAUUUAUGAAUAAUUGAUCCAAUAUUAUUGAUUAAAAAUUUAAGUUACUUUAGGGAUAACAGCGUAAUUUUUUUGGAGAGUUCUUAUCGAUAAAAAAGAUUGCGACCUCGAUGUUGGAUUAAGAGAUAUUUUUAGGUGUAGCCGCUUAAAUAUAAAGUCUGUUCGACUUUUAAAUUCUU
This 482-nucleotide ribosomal RNA is filed under the name Sapromyza bentejui. Its description in RNAcentral is "partial 16S ribosomal RNA". It matches the Rfam family "Bacterial large subunit ribosomal RNA", at positions 1857 to 2597 of the family's 2925-position model. Lineage: Eukaryota; Metazoa; Arthropoda; Insecta; Diptera; Lauxaniidae. The record is from RNAcentral.